AGUGCAGGGAUGAAGCACUGUAGUGUCGGGAGGUCCAGCUUUAAAAAGCUGGACCUCCCGACACUACAGUGCUUCAUCCCUGCACUC
RNAcentral lists this microRNA precursor (87 nucleotides) under Haemaphysalis longicornis (longhorned tick). RNAcentral describes it as "mir-5928 microRNA precursor family". It matches the Rfam family "mir-5928 microRNA precursor family". Lineage: Eukaryota; Metazoa; Arthropoda; Arachnida; Ixodida; Ixodidae. The record is from Rfam by way of RNAcentral.